AUUGAACGCUGGCGGUAGGCCUAACACAUGCAAGUCGAGCGGAGCGGCGGACGGGAGAGUAAUGCCAAGGAAUCUGCCUGGUAGUGGGGGAUAACGUCCGGAAACGGGCGCUAAUACCGCAUACUAUCAGAUGAGACUAGGUCGGAUUAGCUAGUUGGUGGGGUAAAGGCCUACCAAGGCGACGAGCCGUAACUGGUCUGAGAGGAUGAUCAGUCACACUGUAACUGGGACACGGUCCAGACUCCUACGGGAGUGAGCAGUGGGGAAUGUUGGACAAGGGGCGAAAGCCUGAGCCAGCCAGGCCGCGUGGGUGAAGAAGGUCUUCGGAUUGUAAAGCACUUUAAGUUGGGAGGCGUUACCAACAGAAUAAGCACCGGCUAACUUCGUUCCAGCAGCCGCGGUAAGAC
RNAcentral lists this ribosomal RNA (407 nucleotides) under uncultured bacterium. RNAcentral describes it as "partial 16S ribosomal RNA". It matches the Rfam family "Bacterial small subunit ribosomal RNA", at positions 30 to 526 of the family's 1533-position model. The record is from RNAcentral.